AGCGAUUCCGAAGGUAGAACGGGUAGUAGGUACCGUUCUUCUGCGUCAACCGAAUCUUUUGUUCCGUUUUGCCGCUGUGGAUGUUGUCUUACGUGCCUUGUGGACUACCCUAAAUCUGGGUCGAAGAUUUCGCAGGUGCCUGGGUAACGAGGGUCAGUACUGCGGCACGUUCCAAUGGGUGGACCCCCAUAUGCCGCAAGUCAAAAGAGAUCAUUCCCGGACUGUUGAAUCAUAUCUCCAAAUAUGAAAGUCAGAUGAAACAUUUGAAUGAUAGCCUACAGGCGGAGGAGACGCGCCGUUGUACAUUAAUAAAUUAUUUGAUCGUCUUAAUCAUUGUUUGGCUAAUAACUUUUUCUAUUGCAUUGAAUAUCUAAUCUUGUUUAAUCACUCCGACUGUGUAUAAUUUUUUGUUAGCUCAGGCACUUCA
Molecule: non-coding RNA, 427 nt
Organism: Sesamum indicum (sesame)
Lineage: Eukaryota; Viridiplantae; Streptophyta; Magnoliopsida; Lamiales; Pedaliaceae
Source: RefSeq, a predicted model, not a curated record